RNAcentral lists this transfer RNA (72 nucleotides) under Streptococcus mutans NN2025. RNAcentral describes it as "tRNA-Val". It matches the Rfam family "tRNA". Rfam says of the family: Transfer RNA (tRNA) molecules are approximately 80 nucleotides in length. The record is from RNAcentral. Lineage: Bacteria; Bacillati; Bacillota; Bacilli; Lactobacillales; Streptococcaceae.
GGGAGUUUAGCUCAGUUGGGAGAGCAUCUGCCUUACAAGCAGAGGGUCAGCGGUUCGAGCCCGUUAACUCCC